Molecule: transfer RNA, 77 nt
Filed under: Rickettsiales bacterium
Lineage: Bacteria; Pseudomonadati; Pseudomonadota; Alphaproteobacteria; Rickettsiales
Description: tRNA-Asp
Rfam family: tRNA
About the family: Transfer RNA (tRNA) molecules are approximately 80 nucleotides in length. Their secondary structure includes four short double-helical elements and three loops (D, anti-codon, and T loops).
Source: RNAcentral
GGGGGUGUAGCUCAAUUGGUUAGAGCAUUGCCCUGUCACGGCAAAGGUUGCGGGUUCGAGCCCCGUCACUCCCGCCA